Molecule: ribosomal RNA, 497 nt
Filed under: uncultured bacterium
Lineage: Bacteria
Description: partial 16S ribosomal RNA
Rfam family: Bacterial small subunit ribosomal RNA
Source: RNAcentral
GAUGAACGCUGGCGGCGUGCCUAAUACAUGCAAGUCGAGCGAACGGACGAGAAGCUUGCUUUUCUGAUGUUAGCGGCGGACGGGUGAGUAACACGUGGAUAACCUACCUAUAAGACUGGGAUAACUUCGGGAAACCGGAGCUAAUACCGGAUAAUAUUUUGAACCGCAUGGUUCAAAAGUGAAAGACGGUCUUGCUGUCACUUAUAGAUGGAUCCGCGCUGCAUUAGCUAGUUGGUAAGGUAACGGCUUACCAAGGCAACGAUGCAUAGCCGACCUGAGAGGGUGAUCGGCCGCACUGGAACUGAGACACGGUCCAGACUCCUACGGGAGGCAGCAGUAGGGAAUCUUCCGCAAUGGGCGAAAGCCUGACGGAGCAACGCCGCGUGAGUGAUGAAGGUCUUCUGAUCGUAAAACUCUGUUAUUAGGGAAGAACAUAUGUGUAAGUAACUGUGCACAUCUUGACGGUACCUAAUCAGAAAGCCACGGCUAACUACGUG